AACUCUGAGCAGUGAAUCACUCGGCUCACAAUCGAUGAAGAACGCAGACAGCUACGAGACUUGGUUAAGUUGCAGGAAACAUUGAGCAUUGAUUUUUCGAACGCGCAUUGCUGUCUCGAAUGAUACCCGGGAACUCGCCUGUCUGAGAGUCG
Molecule: ribosomal RNA, 152 nt
Filed under: Stegodyphus mimosarum
Lineage: Eukaryota; Metazoa; Arthropoda; Arachnida; Araneae; Eresidae
Description: 5.8S ribosomal RNA
Rfam family: 5.8S ribosomal RNA
About the family: 5.8S ribosomal RNA (5.8S rRNA) is a component of the large subunit of the eukaryotic ribosome. It is transcribed by RNA polymerase I as part of the 45S precursor that also contains 18S and 28S rRNA.
Source: Rfam by way of RNAcentral